CAUUUUGAGGGUUUGAUCCUAGCUCAGGGUUAACGCUGGCGGUGUGCCUAACACAUGCAAGUCGAGCGACGAACUCGGGGAAUUUUGCGCAAGCAGAGUUUCCCGGGGGAAAGCGGCGAAUGGGUGAGUAACACCUGGGUAACCUACCUCAGGGAUCAGGAUAACCCGUCGAAAGGCGGGCUAAUACUGGAUAAGCACGGAAAAAUUCAUUUUUCCGUGGAAAGUUAUUAUGUCGAAAAGACUUAACGCCCUGAGAUGGGCCUGGGUCCUAUCAGCUAGUUGGCGGGGUAAAAGCCCACCAAGGCUAUGACGGGUAGCUGGUCUGAGAGGACGGCCAGCCACACGGGGAUUGAGAUACAGCCCCGACUCCUACGGGAGGCAGCAGUGAGGAAUUUUGGACAAUGCCCGCAAGGGUGAUCCAGCGACACCGCGUGGGUGAUGAAGGGCUUCGGCCUGUAAAACCCUGUCAAGUGGGAAGAAGGCUACCUUUCCAGGUAGUUUGACGGUACCACUGAAGGAAGCCCCGGCUAAUCCCGUGCCAGCAGCCGCGGUAAGACGGGAGGGGCAAGCGUUACCCGGAUUCACUGGGUGUAAAGGGUCUGUAGGCGGUCAAGUGUGUCGUAUCUGAAAUCCUCUGGCUCAACCAGAGAACCGGGUACGAAACUGCUUGACUUUGAGUCCGGACGAGGGGAGCGGAACUGCCGGUGUAGCGGUGAAAUGCGUAGAUAUCGGCAGGAACACCAGUGGCGAAGGCGGCUCUCUAUUCCGGUACUGACGCUGAAAGACGAAAGCGUGGGGAGCGAUCGGGAUUAGAUACCCCGGUAGUCCACGCCGUAAACGAUGGAUGCUGGGUGUCGGUCCGUUUAUCGGGUCGGUGCCGAAGCAAACGCGUUAAGCAUCCCACCUGGGGACUACGACCGCAAGGUUGAAACCCAAAGGAAUUGACGGGGGCCCGCACAACCGGUGG
RNAcentral lists this ribosomal RNA (967 nucleotides) under Candidatus Omnitrophota bacterium. RNAcentral describes it as "bacterial SSU rRNA". It matches the Rfam family "Bacterial small subunit ribosomal RNA", at positions 1 to 935 of the family's 1533-position model. The record is from RNAcentral. Lineage: Bacteria; Pseudomonadati; Candidatus Omnitrophota.